CAGUCGCCGCGGGAAUACGAAGGGGGCUAGCGUUGUUCGGAAUUACUGGGCGUAAAGCGCACGUAGGCGGAUCGAUCAGUCAGGGGUGAAAUCCCAGAGCUCAACUCUGGAACUGCCUUUGAUACUGUCGAUCUAGAGUAUGGAAGAGGUGAGUGGAAUUCCGAGUGUAGAGGUGAAAUUCGUAGAUAUUCGGAGGAACACCAGUGGCGAAGGCGGCUCACUGGUCCAUUACUGACGCUGAGGUGCGAAAACGUGGGGAGCAAACAGGAUUAGAUACCCGUGUAGUCCCGUCUCUUAUACA
RNAcentral lists this ribosomal RNA (301 nucleotides) under uncultured bacterium. Its description in RNAcentral is "partial 16S ribosomal RNA". It matches the Rfam family "Bacterial small subunit ribosomal RNA", at positions 509 to 808 of the family's 1533-position model. The record is from RNAcentral.